Molecule: ribosomal RNA, 800 nt
Filed under: Entamoeba polecki
Lineage: Eukaryota; Evosea; Mastigamoebida; Endamoebidae
Description: partial small subunit ribosomal RNA
Rfam family: Eukaryotic small subunit ribosomal RNA
Source: RNAcentral
UCCUGCCAGUAUUAUAUGCUGAUAUUAAAGAUUAAGCCAUGCAUGUCUAAGUAUAAGUUUUAUACAGCGAAACUGCGGAAGGCUCAUUACAACAGUUAUAGUUUUGAUGGUUAGUAAAAAGAAGGAUAACUCUUGUUAAUUGCAGAGCUAAUACUUGAUUUUACUGUUAUCUAUAUGAUUACAGCGUAAUAAAGCAAUUUAUUACAUAGGAAUAGCUUUUUGAGAAGAAGGUUAAAUUGAGAAUUGAUGAAACUUAAUGUUUUUACAAGUAACUGUUUUAAAUAUCUGACCUAUCAACUUGAAGGUAUGAUAGAGGCAUACCUAAGUGAUAACGGGUAACGAGAAAUAAGGGUUUGAUUUCGGAGAGGGAGCUUUAAAAAUGGCUACCACUUCUAAGGAAGGCAGCAGGCGCGCAAAUUACCCACUUUUAAUUUAGAGAGGUAGUGACGAUAAUUAAUAGAAUCGAUAUUUAUAUUGAUUCAAAUGUAAUGAUUAGAGUUUAAAAAAAUUUAAGAAAUCGAUUGGAGGGCAAGUCUGGUGCCAGCAGCCGCGGUAAUUCCAGCUCCAAUAGUGUAUAUUAAAGUUGUUGUGUUUAAAAAGCUCGUAGUCGAAUUAUAAGUUUUUUAUAUUAGUUAAAAAACUAAUAUAAAAAAAGGAGAAAGGUUAUUUAUAAUCUUUUAUUUACUUUGAAAAAAAUAGAGUGUUUAAAGCAAAAGUUCAUUAAUGUAUAAUGAAGCAUAGGAUAAUAAUGAGGAGAAGAAAUUUUUGAGAACAGUAUUAAAAAGGGAAAUUGGGGUAAU